Molecule: RNA transcript, 9603 nt
Organism: Brassica rapa (field mustard)
Lineage: Eukaryota; Viridiplantae; Streptophyta; Magnoliopsida; Brassicales; Brassicaceae
Source: RefSeq, a predicted model, not a curated record
UUCCGCAUCGCUCAAACAACUCUGCAGUUGUCUUCUUUGUUUUUAUUUUUGUAUUAUUUUAUGUGCAAUAAUGUGAAGUGUUGUUUUAUUUGCGUGAGCAUUAGUGUGUUUUGUUCUCUGUUGAAAGAACUUCAAAGAGCAAAAAAAAAUCAGACUUUAGUAAAUAAUUAGAUAUCAUAGCCUUUUCAGAUUUUCAGCUUUAGACUGUUAUGUCAAAUCUCAAAUCCAGAUUCAAAGACUCCUAUCAAUUAAUCACUUCAGAACUUUUUCAAAUACCCUUAAUUAAAGAGACAUAAAUUAGUAAUUACAGUCAAAUCAUAUGUAAACGAUUGGCGCCUUUUCGAAUUUCCAUUAUUCUCUAAACAAGAAAAAUAAAUCUGACCGUCACCUUCUCUUCUUAUACUAGUUGGGUUUCCCUUCCCUUCCCUUUUCUUCUCUUCCUCACUCUCUCUCAUUCGUUUCCAUCGAAAAAACUUGAAGAUUGUGUGAAAAUGAGUGCUGUCUGACUCAAAGAGAAAGAGGUAUCAAAGAAGAUGAAACUUCAUGGCAUGCCAGAUCCUGUUUCUUCUACUCACUCUGAUGUAAACCCUGAGGAGCUACGGACUCUUCUUCUUUCAAGAGCAACAUUACUUUCUGAGACUGCAUUGAAAGUUCUUCUUUGCAAACGAGAUAAGCUUGUAAUAACUCUCGCUCUUGAUCAAAGAUACACAUGUACUCUAAAAAAAAGUUCUUCUUCUAAAGGGUUGCUCUCUUCUUCUCUGUGAAUGCAUGCAUGCAGACUCUUGAGCAGCGGUCCAUAGAAGAUGAGAUUGCCAAAUGCGAUGAACGCAUGAAGAACAUCAAAGGUUCUUUCCCUCUUUUGCCCCAACUUUGUUUCUACAUAAACUUGAAUGCUUAUCGUACGGAUUAUACAUAUAUAGGUGAUGUGGAGCUGCAACUAGAAACAAUACUUGAUAGCUGUAACGAGGCAUACCCUAGGCGUGGCCUUCAAGAAUCUCAUGACAAGUCAGCAUGUCAAAGCAACAAGAGGAUGAAGCUCUGUGAACCUAUUCCUUGUACCAAAAGCAUGUGUCAGGUAAGUGUUUUGAGAAACUCUUGUGUCUUUGAUCAUUGCAUGUUGAAAUAAAAAAAAAAUUCAUUUUUCUCUUAUUUUAUUGCAGAAACUUGAUGAUCUUUGCGUCAAGAAUAACUGGGUACUACCAAGCUACCAUGUGUCUCUAUCAGAUGGUAAGUUUUUAAGAUCACAUAGCAAAUACAUAUCCUUUACUAACACAACAACUUACAUGUGGAUGUUGUUGCUUUGUCCAAAUAGGUGGGUUUGAAGCUGAAGUAAGAAUAAAGGAGACUCAGUUCGCUUACAAAAUUCGUGGAGAAGAAAAGUCAGAUGCUGAGGAGGCUAGGGAAUCUGCAGCGGCUUGCUUGCUAACCAAGUUACACCAGAACACAACAACAGCCAACGAUGUUUUAACAAAUGACCAUUUGAGGUUCAUGCAAAAUCAUUGUUGUGUUUUAUCUGUUUUAGGCUUGUCAAAGAUAUAACUUAGCUAAGACUUUCAUAUUCGGUUGCAGAUCUUCUUCUUCUGUUAAAGUAACGAAUCCGAGUGCACCCAGCGAGGAUCCAUUCAAAAUGGAGAAGCAGACUAGUCUUCCACUUCAAACAGCAGUUUUGUUACAUAUAUCUCUCUCUCUCUCUCUAUUUGUAGUCUAGUCUUGAGAUUAAUCUUACCACUUUUGGAUUGCUGAGUUUGUGCUUUCAUUGACAUUUUUAUAUUAGGAUCUCGCCGAGGACAUAUACGCAGCCUUGGAGAGGCUUCGUUCUGAUAUUGUCAAAGCAUCCCCUCACGGUGUCAUGUCAUAUCAUAUAUUUGCGUAAGUUUUAAAAGUUGAAGCUGCUACCAGAUCAUUAUCAAUUUUGAUCCAUGCCCCCUACAAAAUAUUAAUGCUCGUGUGUUUGUGGUGGCAGCAAUCCAACGCUUCAGAGGAUCAGCAAAAAGAUUCCGAGAAACAAAGAGGAACUCCUCAAGAUAGAUGGCCUCGGGAUGUAAGUUUUUUUUUUGGCUUCCAGAAACUCUACUCAGUAAUUAUCAAAGCAAUGAUUUAAGAAAUAUUAUGUGUAUCUUUAAACUUGUGUUCAGGGCUAAAGUAAAAAAGUACGGUGAUAGGUUGUUGGAAACAAUAGAAUCAACGAUCAAUGAAUACAACGUAACCAAUAAAAAAGGCUUCAUGGAGUAAAGUGUGGGCAUGGAGAAAGCUUUAUUUGGAGUUUGAAGGACAAAGAUGUGUUAGGAACUGAGGUAAAGAGUAAUUACCUCGGUGUAGUUGUGACCACUCUGAAACUUUAGUUUCAAAGACUUUGUAAACUUCUAAGGCCUACUAGGUAAACCUUAAUGUUAAGUAGAUCAGAAACUUGUUAUUCAGUGUUUAGUUUUUCAUGCAUCAUCUUUUUAAGUGGCUGUGUCCCAGUUCGGUAUGGUUUAAACAAAUCUGCAUGGUAACAAAACCUACGUAAUGAUUUUAAAUCGGAUGCUUUAAUCUGAACAAUCUGUCGUCCAAGAACAGAAGCAGCUUAAAAGUCAUGCAGAAACUUGAAUUGUCUCUUUCGUUUUUCUUUGCUUUUUUUCAUUUUGGCUGCAUUACCAUUGGUGUGAAGUAUUGUUGAUUGUUUUAUUUACCGUCUCUUUUAUGAAUAACCAGAACACAAACUGCAUAUGAAUAUGAGAUUUUGGCAAUUCACAAAAGAUAAAUUUUAUUAGAAAGCAUUUGAAUAAUUUCUAAGAAUUAGAUAGACACUACAUUUGUGAUUUACUGUUGAACAAUUUUUCACACGAUUGUUCAUUCACCAAAAUAUUUUAUUUAGUUCUCUUGCUAAUUAGUAUUUUUUUUCUUUGUUCUGAACUUUUCUACGUUCAAAACAGUUUAAAACACACAAUUAUAGUGCCUUGUUUAAUAGAUAUCAUAGCCUUUUCAGGUUUUUGAGCUAUAGGCUGUUAUGUCAAAAUCUUAAAUUAAAUUAAAAGACUCAUAUCUAUCAAUCACUUCAGGAAUCUCUAAAUAAAGAUAAGAUCAACCUACUGUACCAAGACUGGAACUCUCUAGAUACCCUUUACAGAGAUACAAAAUUACAGUUAAACCAAAAUGUAAACGAUUAGAGUUAGAGCCUUUUCGAAUUUCCAUUAUUGUCUUAACAAGAAAAAAAAAGAAGAAGGAAAAAACACCCUUCUCUACUCACAUAGAAAAUAAUACCAAGAAGAUGAAGCUUAAUAACAUUCAAGCUCAUGUUUCUUCUCCUCACUCUAAUCUAAACCUUGAGGAGCUACAAACGACUAUUCUUUCUAGGGCAAGAUCACUUUCCGAGACUGCAUUGAAAGUUCUUCUUUGGGAACGAGAUAAGCUUGUAAUAACUAUAGACUUUGAUCAAAGACACACAUGUACUUAAUUGAUUGCUAAUAGCAUAUCUAAGGCUUGCUCUCUUCUUCUUUGUGAAUGCGUGCAUGCAGACUCUUGAGCAGCGGUUCAUAGAAGACGAGAUUGCCAAAUGCGAUCAACGCAUCAAGAACAUCAAAGGUACUUUCCCUUUUUAUUUUUGUGCUUCAUUUCUACAUGAACUUGAAUGCUUAUCGAUCCCGGGGAUUGUUUAUAUAGGUGAUUGGAAGCUGCAACUAGAAACAAUACUCAAGAGCUGUAACGAGGCAUACCCGAGGGGUAGCCUUCAAAAAUCUUAUGACAAGUCAGCAUGUCAAAGCAACAAGAGGCUGAAGCCCCUUCCUUCUACCAAAAGUAUGUGUCGGGUAAGUUUUUGGUUAAACUGCUGAGUCUUUGAUCAUUUCACUUUCAAAUAAAAAAAAGAUUCGUUUCUUCUAUUUUAUUGCAGAAACUCGAUGAAAUCUGUCUAGAGAAUAACUGGGUACUACCAAGCUAUCAUGUGUCUCUUUCAGAUGGUAAGGGUUUUAGAUCAUAUAUGGCAAGCUCCUUUACUAACAUAGCAAUUUAAUUACAUGUUGUUGCUUUGUUCAAAAAGGUGGAUUUAAAGCUGGGGUAAGAAUAAAUGAGACUCAGUUCGCUCACACUAUCUGUGGAGAAGAACAGUCAGAUGCUGAGGAAGCUAGGGAAUCCGCAGUGGCUAUCUUGCUUGCUAAAUACGUUACACCAGAGCAAACCAACAGCCAACGAUCUCGUACCAGAAGACCUUUCAGGUUCUUGCAAAAUCAUUGCUGUGUUUUAUCUGUUUCAAGCUUGUUAAAUAUUGAACGUCACUAAAGAGUUGCAUAUGCAGAUCCCCUUCUUCAGUAAAAGUAUUGAAGCCGAGUACACCCGGUGAAACCUCAGAAAUAGAUCCAUUAACAUCACUUGCAACUGGAGAUGUGGUAUCUCUCUCCAUCUCUCUUUGUAAUCUAGUCUCAUUUUUUCUGCUGAGAUUAUAAGAUUAUGGCUCAUUGAUCUUUUUUUUGUAUAGGAUCUUACCACCAAAUUGUUCUUAGCCUUGAGGAAGCUACGUUCACUUCUUGUCAAAGAAUGCCCUGGUGGUGUCAUGGGAACUUAUAUAUUCACGUAAGUCUUGAUAAAAAAAAAACUAUUUGUUUGCUUAUUUUUUAUGAAUUAUCAAUUUGAUCCAUGCACCUACAAAAUACUUUGUGUGUUGUGGCGGCAGCAACCCAACGCUUCAGAAGAUAAGCACCAAGAUUCCGAGAAACAAAGAGGAACUCCUUGAGAUAGAAGGCCUUGGGAAGUAAGUUAUCUUUGCUUCCAGAAACUGUACUCAGUAAUCAUCGAGAUAAGAACUCAAACGAGUUUGAUUACAUUCAUGUGUUAUACUGUUAUGUUUAAACUUGCGUUCAGGGACAAAGUAAGUAGGUACGGUGAUCGGUUGUUGGAAACAAUAGAAUCAACGAUCAAGGAGUACUACGCAACCAAUAAGAAAAGCUCCAUGGAGUAAAGUAUGGGCAUGUAGAACGCUUUAUUUUGAGUUUUGAAUGACGAAAGAUGGGUUGGACAUACGUAAUAAUUACCUAGGUGAAGUUGUGACUAACUUCUAAUAACUUUUUAGUAAACUUAAAAAGAAAAACUUUUUGUAAACUUUUGCUUCACUUUUUGUAAACUUAAAAAAAACCUUAACGUUCAAACUGAACCUGAUAUAAAUGUAAGGGAAAAUAACAAUCUCAAACUAAAACUGUAAACAAAUAGUAUGAUAUACAAAACAAAAAAUUUUGUUUCAAAAAGAUUUAUUUUUAUAUUUUCAAUGCAUGGUUUAUUAACUAAUUGUACUAGUUAAAUUUUUAUUAGUUCAAAAUUAUGAAAAAAAAAUAAACACAAAAAGUUACGCAAAUUUAAUGUGUUUUAUUAAGAUGUGUGAAAUAUCAAUUAUAUAGUGAGUAUAAUUUGUUCUCAUGUCUCUUAUAAAAUUACCAAGUAUUAGUAUAAUCGUUUAGCAUCAAGUAAGUAUCUGCUUACUCGUGUACGGGUUGGAUCCAUCCGACAAGGAAGAUGAGAAUCAGCAGCAUUGGUGUUCCCACCACCACGUUCUUCAGUAAACAGUAUCACCAUUGAUCUUCUCAGUUCUCAAGAAACGUAGUAAAGAGAUUAAGACACUUGUCUUCUGAGUUCUGAAAGACACCCACUUAACUGAAGAAAGAGCAAAUUAUGUAUACACUAUCUGCAAAGAAAAAAAACUCCCUAAAAUACCCUCCAAAGAGCCAAAAUAUUACAGUGAAACCAACCUCAGGGAAAACAAAAAGUAUUGGCGCCUUUUCGAAUUUCUUUCAUUAUUAUUUACACAAAAACACAAAAACAAAUGCUUUUUGUGUUAACACAUGAAGUAGUCUUUAUGAGCUUCUUCCUCUUUGCUCCUUGUUGUCUCUCUCUGCCUAUAACUUACAAAGCUGACACUUUCUCUAAAGUUUUCUCAUUUUCCAGAAACGGCAAUUAGGGAAAUUUCAUUACAAAGCCUAAAAGGGUUUCCUUUUCCGUGAACCUUUGACGCUUAGGGAUUGAGAUUAUGGAGGAAGCAGACUGCUCUUUACCUGCUUGUCCGACAGAGGACGCCAUUAGAGCUUUGUUAGAGAACUUAGUCGACCCUUUGCUUCCACUCAAGCCUUCUCCAAGUAAUGUUCCUUCCAAGGCUCUCCGUGAAUCUGUGGCUAAACAGGUUCAUGCUGUUGUGCUGUUGUACAAUUACUACCACAGAAGAGAGCAUCCUCACCUAGAACGCUUGCCUUUUGAGUCGUUCCGUAGCUUGACUACCGUUAUGAGACCUGCCCUGCUGCCUCAUUUUAAGGAAUCUGGAGAAGAUGGAGUUUUGGAGAAGGUUAUUGUGGAUGCAUGUAGUUUAUCCAUGAGCUUGGAUGCUUCUUCAGAUUUUUCCACCUUGAAGAAGUGGCCCAUAAGGAAAGUUGCUGUCUUGUUAGUUGAUUCCAAGAAGACUUGCUGUUAUCUUCAGCACAGUUCAAUCACACAAGGUGUGUGGUCACUACUUGAGAAACCCAUUGAAUGCCAGAGUGAAGAAGCCACUUUUCAAAAAGUUGCAUUUGCUGCUAUUAAGGAGGCCACUGGUAUUGAUCAUAAAGACAUUGUGAUCUUAGAGAGGCAUUUGGUACACUCUUUGAGUGAAGAGAAGACAACGACCAAGUUUUACAUAAUGAAAUGCACUUCAGAAGACAAUUUUCCAGGAGAGUUCCCUGUUGAAGAAGCACUUAACUGCAUGCAAGGUCCUUUGUUUGACAAGAGCUUCUCCGAAUGGUCUACAAAUUCCAUAGUUGAAUACUUUCAUGUUCUUCCAUAUGCCAAUCUUAUAGCAGACUGGUUUUCAAGGCGAGAAGCUGCUGAGUUUGUGAUAGAGAAAGAAGCAGAAGCUGUGUGUGAUGAGCUGGAAAGCAAUGGAAAGGCAGAUGAGUCUGAUAUUUGUCACAAAGAAGACGCCAUUAGAGCUUUGUUAGAGAACUUAGUCGACCCUUUGCUCCCACUCAGACCUUCUCCAACUGAUGUUCCUUCCAUGGCUCUCAGGGAAUCUGUGGCUAAACAGGUUCGUGCUGUUGUGGUCCUGUAUAACUAUUACCACAGAAGAGAGCAUCCUCAUCUUGAAUGCUUGUCUUUUGAGACUUUCCGUAGCUUGACUACGGAUGUGAAGCCUGCUCUGCUGCCUCAUUUUAAGGAAUCUGGAGAUGGAGUUGUAUUGCUGGAGAAGGUUAUUGUGGAUGCAUGCAGCUUAUCCAUAAGCUUAGAUGCGUCUUCAGAUUUUUCCACCUUGGAGAAGUGGCCCAUAAAGAAAGUUUCAGUCCUGUUGGUUGACUCCAAGAAAACUUGCUGUUAUCUUCAACACAGUUCCAUCACACAAGGUGGGUGGUCACUGCUUGAAAAAACCAUUGAAAGAGAGAAAGCUGCUGCUGCUGAAGGCCAGAGCGAAGAGGCCAUCUUUCAAAAAGUUGCAUUUGCAGCUGUUAAGGAGGCCACAGGUAUUAAUCACAAAGACAUUGUGAUAUUGGAGAGGCAUUUGGUACACUCCUUGAGUGAAGAGAAGACAACGGCCCAGUUUUACAUAAUGAAGUGCACCUCACAAGACAAAUUUUCUGGAGAGUUCCCUGUUGAAGAAGCACUUAAAUGCAUGCAAGGUCCUUUGUUUGAGAAGAGCUUCUCUGAAUGGUCUACGAAUUCCAUAGUUGAAUACUUUCAUGUUCUUCCUUAUGCCAAUCUAAUAGCAGACUGGUUUUCCAGGCGAGAAGACGCUGAGUUUGUGAUAGAGAAAGAAGUAGAAACUGUGUGUGAUGAGAUCGAAAGCAAUGGAAAGGCAGAUGAGUCUGAUGUUUGUCACACAGGGGACGCCAUUAGAGCUUUGUUAGAGAAUUUAGUCGACCCUUUGCUUCCACCCAAACCUUCUCCAACUGAUGUUCCUUCCAAGGCUGUCCGUGAAGCAGUGGCUAAACAGGUUCAUGCUGUUGUGCUGCUGUACAAUUAUUACCACAGAAGAGAGCAUCCUCAUCUAGAGUGCUUGUCUUUUGACUCUUUCCGUAGUUUGACUACUGUUAUGAGGCCUGCUCUCUUGCCCCAUUUUAAGGACUCUGGAGAAGAUGGAGUUUUGGAACAAACUGUAUUUCUAGAGAAGGUUAUUGUGGAUGCAUGCAGCUUAUCCAUGAGCUUGGAUGCUUCUUCAGAUUUUUCCAGCUUGAAGAAGUGGCCCAUAAAGAAAGUUGCAGUCUUGUUAGUCGACUCAAAGAAGACUUCUUGUUAUCUUCAACAUAGUUCCAUCACACAAGGUGUGUGGUCACUACUUGAGAAAGCUGCUGCUGCUGAAGGCCAGAAUGAAGAGGCUAUCUUUCAAAAAGUUGCAUUUGCAGCUAUUAAGGAGGCCACAGGUAUUAAUCACAAAGAUGUUGUGAUCUUGGAGAGGCAUUUGGUACCCUCAUUGAGUGAAGAGAAGACAACGGCCCAGUUUUACAUAAUGAAGUGCACUUCACAAGACAAAUUUUCUGGAGAGUUCCCUGUGGAAGAAGCACUUAAAUGCAUGCAAGGUCCUUUGUUUGAGAAGAGCUUCUCUGUCUCUGAAUGGUCUACGAGUUUCGUAGUGGAAUACUUCCACGUUCUUCCAUAUGCCAGUCUAAUAACAGACUGGUUCUCCAGGCGAAAAGACACUGAGUUCGUGAUAGAGAAAGAAGCAGAAGCUGUAUUUGAUGAGAAUGGAAAGGCAGAUGAGUCUGAUAUUUUCGACACUCCUGGAAGAGGAGGAGAUAAUGCUACUUCAAAAAGGAGUAAUGAUACUAAUGCUAGAAAAGAUGCUUCACGUAGCAGUCCUAAAGCUAGAAAAAAAGUUGCUCCCAAGUUCUAUUCUCGUAACUUGAGAGGAAGAACAGUUCCUGCAGUGGAACCCCAGGUUGAAACGGUAGUUGCGUUGAAGGCUAAUAAUGCAGAUAAUGAAAUGAGUCCUUGUAAAGAUAAUGGAGAGAGAGGUGGUAUGGAGGUUGGGUCUGGUUCAAAUUAUCAAAGGGAAAGAGAUAACCAGAGGAAGAAAGCUGUUACUGACAAACUCAAGAGCAUUCUUAAGCUUAAUAAUGCAUCUCCUGCUUCUGCUCGUGACUCUAACCUAAACCUUGAGGAGCUACAAACUACUCUUCUCUCUAGAGCAUCAUCACUCUCUGAGACUGCGUUGAAAGUUCUUCAUUGCAAACGAGAUAAGCUGACUCUUCAGCAGCGAGACAUAGAAGACGAGAUUGCUGAAUGUGACAAACUCAUCAAGAACGUCAAAGGUAACUGGGAGCUGCAACUAGAAACAAUACUUGAGUGUUGUAAUGAGGCAUACCCGAGGCGUAGCCUUCAAGAAUCUCAAAGCAACAAGAGAGUGAAGCUCUCUGAACCUCUUCCUUUUACCAAAAAAACUCGAUGAUUUAUGUCUGGAGAAUAACUGGGUACUACCAACCUAUCGUGUGUCUUCAACCGAUGGUGGGUAUGAAGCCGAAGUAAGAAUAAAGGAGAUUCACUUUGCGCAUACAGUUUGCGGAGAUGAAAAGUCUGAUGCUGAGGAAGCUAGGGAAUCUGCGGCAGCUUGCCUGCUACGUAGGUUACAACACAACACAAGACAACAGCCAUCAACUUCUCGUCAUGAUUGAGUGAGAUCCAAGA